Molecule: non-coding RNA, 215 nt
Filed under: Striatella unipunctata
Lineage: Eukaryota; Bacillariophyta; Striatellaphyceae; Striatellales; Striatellaceae
Source: RNAcentral
ACCAAUAUUUCUAUUUCUCUUGUCAUUUGGGUCAUUGCUGUUGUCGUUGUUGUCGUUGUUGCUAUUGUUGCUGUUGUUGUAUUGGAUGGCCAAUACGCGGAGGAGCCAAUGAACUAUCGUGUCAUCCUUCUUCUCCAAGAAACAAAAACAUGAUAAUCAUCCAUCCUUUCAUAAAAAUUAGACAUUUUUACAAACGAAAAAAAAAAAAAAAAAAA